RNAcentral lists this ribosomal RNA (888 nucleotides) under Aerococcus sp. M_Sw_oHS_07/11_7_2(1). RNAcentral describes it as "bacterial SSU rRNA". It matches the Rfam family "Bacterial small subunit ribosomal RNA", at positions 22 to 899 of the family's 1533-position model. The record is from RNAcentral. Lineage: Bacteria; Bacillati; Bacillota; Bacilli; Lactobacillales; Aerococcaceae.
GCUCAGGACGAACGCUGGCGGCAUGCCUAAUACAUGCAAGUCGAGCGAACAGAUGAAGUGCUUGCACUUCUGACGUAGCGGCGAACGGGUGAGUAACACGUAAGGAAUCUACCUAUAAGCGGGGGAUAACAUUCGGAAACGGGUGCUAAUACCGCAUAAUAUCUUCUUCCGCAUGGAAGAAGAUUGAAAGACGGCUCUGCUGUCACUUAUAGAUGACCUUGCGGUGCAUUAGUUAGUUGGUGGGGUAACGGCCUACCAAGACGAUGAUGCAUAGCCGACCUGAGAGGGUGAUCGGCCACAUUGGGACUGAGACACGGCCCAAACUCCUACGGGAGGCAGCAGUAGGGAAUCUUCCGCAAUGGGCGAAAGCCUGACGGAGCAAUGCCGCGUGAGUGAAGAAGGCCUUCGGGUCGUAAAACUCUGUUAUAAGAGAAGAACAAAUUGUAGAGUAACUGCUACAGUCUUGACGGUAUCUUAUCAGAAAGCCACGGCUAACUACGUGCCAGCAGCCGCGGUAAUACGUAGGUGGCAAGCGUUGUCCGGAUUUAUUGGGCGUAAAGGGAGCGCAGGUGGUUUCUUAAGUCUGAUGUGAAAGCCCACGGCUUAACCGUGGAGGGUCAUUGGAAACUGGGAAACUUGAGUACAGAAGAGGAAUGUGGAACUCCAUGUGUAGCGGUGGAAUGCGUAGAUAUAUGGAAGAACACCAGUGGCGAAGGCGACAUUCUGGUCUGUUACUGACACUGAGGCUCGAAAGCGUGGGGAGCAAACAGGAUUAGAUACCCUGGUAGUCCACGCCGUAAACGAUGAGUGCUAGGUGUUGGAGGGUUUCCGCCCUUCAGUGCCGCAGUUAACGCAUUAAGCACUCCGCCUGGGAGACGCGAGUUUGAG